GGAAGGGGGGGGGUGCUACACAUGCAAGUCGAACGGAGAUACGCGCUGAAUGGAUGGAGCUUGCUUUUGAAAUUCUUGUGUAUCUUAGUGGCGGACGGGUGAGUAACGCGUGAGCAACCUGCCUUUCAGAGGGGGAUAACGUUUGGAAACGAACGCUAAUACCGCAUGAGACCACGGUACUGCAUAGUACAGUGGCCAAAGGAGCAAUCCGCUGAAAGAUGGGCUCGCGUCCGAUUAGAUAGUUGGCGGGGUAACGGCCCACCAAGUCGACGAUCGGUAGCCGGACUGAGAGGUUGAACGGCCACAUUGGGACUGAGACACGGCCCAGACUCCUACGGGAGGCAGCAGUGAGGGAUAUUGGUCAAUGGGGGAAACCCUGAACCAGCAACGCCGCGUGGGGGAAGACGGUUUUCGGAUUGUAAACCUCUGUCCUCUGUGAAGAUAAUGACGGUAGCAGAGGAGGAAGCUCCGGCUAACUACGUGCCAGCAGCCGCGGUAAUACGUAGGGAGCGAGCGUUGUCCGGAUUUACUGGGUGUAAAGGGUGCGUAGGCGGCCCUGCAAGUCAGAAGUGAAAUCCAUGGGCUUAACCCGUGAACUGCUUUUGAAACUGCAGGACUUGAGUGGAGUAGAGGUAGGCGGAAUUCCCGGUGUAGCGGUGAAAUGCGUAGAGAUCGGGAGGAACACCAGUGGCGAAGGCGG
Molecule: ribosomal RNA, 700 nt
Filed under: uncultured bacterium
Lineage: Bacteria
Description: bacterial SSU rRNA
Rfam family: Bacterial small subunit ribosomal RNA
Source: RNAcentral